This 1321-nucleotide long non-coding RNA is filed under the name Patiria miniata (bat star). RNAcentral's name for it is "uncharacterized LOC119727328". The record is from RNAcentral. Lineage: Eukaryota; Metazoa; Echinodermata; Asteroidea; Valvatida; Asterinidae.
AAACCAUGAUGAAACUUACGUUCGUAAAAUUCCUUCAUGGUAAAAUCGGAAUUCGUUUGGUUUUCUUCCGUGGUUUUCCGAUGCAGUUGCACAUCUUGCGUUUGUGAGGUUUUCAGCGAUGCCUUCUCGUAGAUGUUCAAGAUGUUCACUGUAGUGUGUAACUAGACCCGUGAACGUGGCGUUUUCACGGGUCUGUAAAAGUUAACUAACUAAUGUCGAUACUAAUGAUCAUGUUUCCCGACGAGCAUGCAUGAUCGCUGCACGUGCCGUGUAGCUCCAUUCUGUACAUGGGCACGCACUGCAGCUGCAGAGAAUGGGACACCCUGCCGUAGAGUGCUGGUCCAAGGAAUCGACGCCACGUAAUGCUGACUUGACUGUUGACGUCUGGGCCUGUGACCUUUCAGACUCUUGUCAGACAAAUGCGGUCAAAUGCGGGGUUCCCAAGCAUCACUACCAUGACUACUUUACAGUGAGAUUCCCAAAACUGAAGCUUUGAAGCCAGUGUUUUACAGGUCUCAUUUCUGUUAGGACACCAGGCUUGAAGGCUAGAUGCUCCCCUGCUCUAUGAUGAGAUAUGACACGCAACACGCCUCAGUUUGUCCAUGCCUAGCCAUGCACUCUCCAAGCCAGUCCCCAGGACCUACUCCACCGGCAGAACCUUCAUCCACACUGCAGUCCAUGUCUGGAACAGUCUCCCAGAUUGUGAAGUGGGAGAGAUGAAAGACAGUGGUGCUCCUUCAAACGUAGGGUGCAUCAACAUCUCCUGUCAACACAUUGAUUUGCUGCAUGCAAGUCCCUACAUCUAUCCAGUUCCUGUUCUGAUGAAGCAGCUUUCCCAGCCCAUGACUCUGUUCAGGUUUGGUGCAUGUAACUCAGCCCUAUCCCCUGUUUCCUUGCUUCAAGGCAGGUAAGUCUUGUUUGGAACUUGUAGUAGAUGGUGAUCUUUCAACUGAAAAUUUACAAGCUUGCCCACAGUCAUAGGAAAAUAACACAUCAUUAUUCGGUAAGACUUAGUUCUCCUAGUUCUCUUAGUUCAUUCAACCCCCUCCCCCUCAAAAAAAAAAGUGUUUGUCAUAAAAUUGUAAUACUUUUGCGAAUAGUUGAGCAUGCAUACAGGUAUGUUACCAUUAUUCAAGCCCUUGAUUUUUUGAUGAGGCAACUUUAUUGCAGUUUAUUCUGAAACUACAUUGUGUAUUGUAUGCAAAUUAGCAAAGUACAUGUACAUGCAUAGCUUCUUCGAGAUGGGAACUGUGACUGAGUCUGCAGCACUUCUUGAAUUAAGCUAACCUUAACCCUGCUGAAUCCAACAGGAUCCAACUAU